This 309-nucleotide ribosomal RNA is filed under the name Triticum aestivum (bread wheat). RNAcentral describes it as "partial small subunit ribosomal RNA". Lineage: Eukaryota; Viridiplantae; Streptophyta; Magnoliopsida; Poales; Poaceae. The record is from RNAcentral.
AUGAAUGGAGUGGAUCAGGAUAUCGAUGAUGAGCCUAGGAAAAGGAGGAAAAAGCUCAAGCGAUUGGCGACUUUGGCAUAUCAUGUUGGGUGUAUGAGUGACAUGGGUAAUCACUACACCAAAACCUAUCUACCAAAAGAACCAUAUAGGAUUCCAGAACAAACUGGUUAUGAAUGGGUUAUGGAAACUCUUGGUCACAAAAGGAGUUGUUAUAGGAUGUUUCGGAUGAGUCGAAGAGUAUUUGAGUCAUUGCACAAUAUCCUAGUGUCUCAUUAUGGAUUGAAGUCAAGCAGAGAAGUGACAUCGUAA